GCAAUGUAAAAAAAACAAUUAUAUUUUAUUUUUAAAAUAAGCAAGCAUUUUUACACACACUAAAUCAUAGCAUAGGCAUAUUUACAUCGAAAGAGUUAUCCACUCUGUCGUACAGUUAGCAAAUAUUGUAAGCUCACUAUUACAAACAAGAGAAUAGGAAGUAAAAAAAUUGUACAAGGCAUAUAGAAGGCAAUACUGUCAACAUACAAAUAACAUCCAAUAUUAUGCCAAAACAUCGCCCUGCAUUCAAUACACUCUUUACUAUGCUCCCACCACAGCAGAAAUGAUUGACAGAGUUAAUUUUUUUAAAUACAAGGUUUGAGCUACUUACUGUUACUACGGCUCUAACAAUUUUCCUAGAUGUUCGCCAGUUUAUUAUAUCUUUAGGGGGGAACAAAUUACAAAUUACUAUUGGGAUUGGCCACAUAGUGAAAACUCUGGCUAGACCGUUAUUUUUUUUAAAAAUAUAAUCAUCUAAAAUUAAAUUCGGCUUACAUAUAUUCUUAUUCUUUUAACAAAGGCCAGUUAAAAUAAACAAAAUAAAUACAUUUUAGCAGUCAAACACAAGCUAAGCUGUAAUAUAGUUGUCAAUGGAUAUGUUCAGAACAACAAUGUAAAACAAAAAUACCAACACAGUAUUCGUGUCAAGAC
This is a non-coding RNA of Biomphalaria pfeifferi, 651 nucleotides long. The record is from the annotation of a GenBank genome assembly. Lineage: Eukaryota; Metazoa; Mollusca; Gastropoda; Planorbidae.